UACGUAGGGUGCGAGCGUUGUCCGGAAUUAUUGGGCGUAAAGAGCUCGUAGGCGGUCUGUCGCGUCGAAUGUGAAAACCCGGGGCUCAACUCCGGGCGUGCAUUCGAUACGGGCAGACUAGAGUUCGGUAGGGGAGACUGGAAUUCCUGGUGUAGCGGUGAAAUGCGCAGAUAUCAGGAGGAACACCGGUGGCGAAGGCGGGUCUCUGGGCCGAUACUGACGCUGAGGAGCGAAAGCGUGGGGAGCAAACAGG
Molecule: ribosomal RNA, 253 nt
Filed under: uncultured bacterium
Lineage: Bacteria
Description: partial 16S ribosomal RNA
Rfam family: Bacterial small subunit ribosomal RNA
Source: RNAcentral